RNAcentral lists this long non-coding RNA (693 nucleotides) under Bos taurus (domestic cattle). RNAcentral's name for it is "long non-coding RNA NONBTAT001803". Lineage: Eukaryota; Metazoa; Chordata; Mammalia; Artiodactyla; Bovidae. The record is from RNAcentral.
CAACAUUCAUGGGUUUAAAGAGUCUACGUUUUUGUGCUAUUAUGUUUUAAGAAACUGGAAACACAGUGCCAAUUGCUUUGAGUUGCUGUUAAGGAUGAUGUUCAUUUGAUAAAUUCACUGAUAAUCUUUUCAAAAUAAUAGACUUUGCUUCCUACAACUUUUUAUACAUGAUUUAAAAAGUGCAUUCUCAGAAGCUGCAGGUCAGAUUCCUUUAGCGAUGAGAGCUGAAGAUUUUUUAAAACUGUGUAAGCUUCCUCGGUGCUGUUCAUCUGAUGUGGAAAUUUUUUCACUUCUCAUUUUCACGAGUAAAUACACAUAAAUAGAGGAAAGGAUUCUUCUGGGAGUGUUGCUGUUUAUGUCUAGAUGUGUCACCUGACUGGAGACCAGAGACUUUCUCACCAAAGGCUUUCAGAAACCCUACUUGGUCCUCACUGGGUUGAGAGAUGCCUUCACUAUGGUUGACCUCUGUGCACUGCUAUUCCCCCCACAUUGUCUCCUUCUGCCUUUUUAAGAUUAUUUGCUUAUUUAUAAUAAUUUUGGCCAGAAGUUUACUACCAUUGGUGCUUCCUGUUACCCUGCAAAGGGAAUUCCAGAGCCUGUAUGCAUUUACGCUGCCUAGGUCUUUUUCUCCUUUGAUUGCCUUUCUAAAGAGCAUCUCAUUUUGGUGUACAUUCAUGUCCUACCCCUCUUGAA